ACCAUGAGACAUAUCCAAGAUGAAUUUUCAUUGAAAGAUCAAAAAUUGUUAGGAGAAUCAACUAUAUUCAAUCCGAUCUCUUAAUCAAUCUUUGAUAUUUUUUGAGAUUAUUUUUAAUAUUAAAUACUCAAAUUAACUUGUUAAGUCAUAGUUGAUUUUAGAUAUGUUUGUUAACAUUCUCUAAUUUCAAAGUCCAACAA
RNAcentral lists this long non-coding RNA (200 nucleotides) under Elaeis guineensis (African oil palm). Its description in RNAcentral is "long non-coding RNA (EGUI_LNC043336)". Lineage: Eukaryota; Viridiplantae; Streptophyta; Magnoliopsida; Arecales; Arecaceae. The record is from RNAcentral.